RNAcentral lists this unclassified non-coding RNA (384 nucleotides) under soil metagenome. RNAcentral describes it as "partial contains 5.8S ribosomal RNA, internal transcribed spacer 2, and large subunit ribosomal RNA". The stretch from base 1 to 120 matches the Rfam family "5.8S ribosomal RNA", at positions 35 to 154 of the family's 154-position model. The record is from RNAcentral.
GAUGAAGAACGUAGCGAAAUGCGAUAAGUAAUGUGAAUUGCAGAAUUCAGUGAAUCAUCGAAUCUUUGAACGCACCUUGCGCUCCUUGGUAUUCCGAGGAGCAUGCCUGUUUGAGUGUCAUUAAAUUCUCAACCUCACCCGUUUUCUGAACGGGUCGAGGCUUGGAUGUGGGGGCUUGUGCAGGCUGCCUCACUGGCGGUCUGCUCCCCUGAAAUGCAUUAGCGAGGUUCAUGCUGAACUUCCGUCUAUUGGUGUGAUAAUUAUCUACGCCGUGGACGAGGAUCAGACUCGCUUCUAACUGUCCGCGAGGACAAUACCUUGACAAUUUGACCUCAAAUCAGGUAGGACUACCCGCUGAACUUAAGCAUAUCAAUAAGCGGAGGA